UACGAAGGGGGCGAGCGUUGCUCGGAAUCACUGGGCGUAAAGCGUGCGUAGGCGGAUUUUUAAGUCGGAGGUGAAAGCCUGGGGCUCAACCCCAGAAUUGCCUUCGAUACUGAGAGUCUUGAGUUCGGUAGAGGUUGGUGGAACUGCGAGUGUAGAGGUGAAAUUCGUAGAUAUUCGCAGGAACACCAGUGGCGAAGGCGGCCAACUGGUCCGAAACUGACGCUGAGGCACGAAAGCGUGGGGAGCAAACAGG
Molecule: ribosomal RNA, 253 nt
Filed under: uncultured bacterium
Lineage: Bacteria
Description: partial 16S ribosomal RNA
Rfam family: Bacterial small subunit ribosomal RNA
Source: RNAcentral